RNAcentral lists this ribosomal RNA (207 nucleotides) under uncultured bacterium. RNAcentral describes it as "partial 16S ribosomal RNA". It matches the Rfam family "Bacterial small subunit ribosomal RNA", at positions 568 to 774 of the family's 1533-position model. The record is from RNAcentral.
CGUGUAGGUGGGGAUGCAAGUCAGGUGUGAAAGCCCGAGGCUUAACUUCGGAAUAGCGCCUGAAACUGCAUCUCUUGAGUACGGGAGGGGGAAGCGGAAUUCUUGGUGUAGGGGUGAAAUCCGUAGAUAUCAGGAGGAACACCGAUGGCGAAGGCAGCUUCCUGGACCGAUACUGACACUGAGACGCGAAAGCGUGGGGAGCAAACA